GUCAGUGAGCGGAGGGAAUUUUUGUCCAACGUGCACCUUGACAGAGCUUCACUGACCACGGGCUGUGUCUCCCUGCGGCCGCGCAGCACCUCUGACCACAGACCUCUCUCCAGAGCCGUGUGUUUGCUCCUCACCUGACAGGCUGUGUGAGAACCCAUCUGUGCUUCCCCGGGAUGUCUGCCUGCAUGCAUGCACCCCCCGACUGUGCAUGGGAACCCUGCUGGGCCUCUCCAGAUGUUUUCCUGCAGCUCUCUACCUCGGCUGGCCUCUUUGCGGGGAAUUAACGGCCUCUCCUACUUUCUGGCUCACAGUUGCGCUGGGCCAGUGGGGCAUCUUGAAAGGAGAGAGAGAGACAAGUGGCUGCUCCUGCCCCUCUUCAGAAUCACUGUGUCAAGCAAGAGAAGCCACCCAGGAAAGAUAUGUGGGUGAAGUCAAGAACAGGCAGGACCGACCUACUGCGAUGGAAGUCAGAACACUGGAGGUUCGGUUUUGGAUUGGAGUUGACUUGAGGAAACUUUCUGAGGUUUGGAAAUGCUCUGUAUCCUGUUUAGGGCGGUGGUCGUGUGAGUAUAUGCAAUUGUCAAAACUCAUUGAACACAUACACAGAUUUUAUGGUGUCUAA
This 622-nucleotide long non-coding RNA is filed under the name Macaca mulatta (Rhesus monkey). RNAcentral describes it as "lncRNA (ENSMMUG00000063933.1)". The record is from RNAcentral. Lineage: Eukaryota; Metazoa; Chordata; Mammalia; Primates; Cercopithecidae.